GGGGCUGUAGCUCAGCUGGAAGAGCGCUUGAAUGGCAUUCAAGAGGUCAGGGGUUCAACUCCCCUCAGCUCCACCA
Molecule: transfer RNA, 76 nt
Filed under: Desulfobacca acetoxidans
Lineage: Bacteria; Pseudomonadati; Thermodesulfobacteriota; Desulfobaccia; Desulfobaccales; Desulfobaccaceae
Also listed under: 6 other names
Description: tRNA-Ala
Rfam family: tRNA
About the family: Transfer RNA (tRNA) molecules are approximately 80 nucleotides in length.
Source: RNAcentral